RNAcentral lists this ribosomal RNA (253 nucleotides) under uncultured bacterium. Its description in RNAcentral is "partial 16S ribosomal RNA". It matches the Rfam family "Bacterial small subunit ribosomal RNA", at positions 524 to 776 of the family's 1533-position model. The record is from RNAcentral.
UACGGAGGGGACUAGCGUUGUUCGGAAUUACUGGGCGUAAAGCGCACGUAGGCGGAUUUGUAAGUCAGGGGUGAAAUCCCGGGGCUCAACCUCGGAACUGCCUUUGAUACUGCAAAUCUCGAGUCCGGAAGAGGUGAGUGGAAUUCCUAGUGUAGAGGUGAAAUUCGUAGAUAUUAGGAAGAACACCAGUGGCGAAGGCGGCUCACUGGUCCGGUACUGACGCUGAGACGCGAAAGCGUGGGGAGCGAACAGG